GGGUUGUGAGGUUAAGCGACUAAGCGUACACGGUGGAUGCCCUGGCAGUCAGAGGCGAUGAAGGACGUGCUAAUCUGCGAUAAGCGCCGGUAAGGUGAUAUGAACCGUUAUAACCGGCGAUUUCCGAAUGGGGAAACCCAGUGUGAUUCGUCACACUAUCAUUAACUGAAUCCAUAGGUUAAUGAGGCGAACCGGGGGAACUGAAACAUCUAAGUACCCCGAGGAAAAGAAAUCAACCGAGAUUCCCCCAGUAGCGGCGAGCGAACGGGGAGGAGCCCAGAGCCUGAAUCAGCAUGUGUGUUAGUGGAAGCGUCUGGAAAGGUGCGCGAUACAGGGUGACAGCCCCGUACACAAAAGCGCAUGUGCUGUGAGCUCGAUGAGUAGGGCGGGACACGUGGUAUCCUGUCUGAAUAUGGGGGGACCAUCCUCCAAGGCUAAAUACUCCUGACUGACCGAUAGUGAACCAGUACCGUGAGGGAAAGGCGAAAAGAACCCCGGCGAGGGGAGUGAAAAAGAACCUGAAACCGUGUACGUACAAGCAGUGGGAGCACCCUUCGGGGUGUGACUGCGUACCUUUUGUAUAAUGGGUCAGCGACUUAUAUUCUGUAGCAAGGUUAACCGUAUAGGGGAGCCGUAGGGAAACCGAGUCUUAAC
RNAcentral lists this ribosomal RNA (654 nucleotides) under Salmonella enterica subsp. enterica. Its description in RNAcentral is "partial 23S ribosomal RNA". It matches the Rfam family "Bacterial large subunit ribosomal RNA", at positions 1 to 688 of the family's 2925-position model. Lineage: Bacteria; Pseudomonadati; Pseudomonadota; Gammaproteobacteria; Enterobacterales; Enterobacteriaceae. The record is from RNAcentral. RNAcentral also lists the same sequence under 2 other names.